GGUGGCGCUUUCAAGAGAGCAUAAACUGCGGUAGUGUAGGGAGGAUACAAGCUUGCCGUAGAGUUGCCUGGAUAAGUUUCUCAGACAGUGGGCAGGGCCAUAGCGCUCCCAACAGACUUUGUCCUUUGUCUUCAGCUACGAGGGGAGUCUACCUACUGAAAGGGGGCCCAGUGGACAUGGAACUCUAAGAUAAGGCAUUCUUCCUGGGCAGCAGUGAGUAUAGGAACAGUUGGCCUUUUUGGAUGAAGGUGUGAUUACUGGAAAGGAGUACUGCCAGGUGAUAAAGUAAGAAGACAAAGAUGCAGACAAUCAAAAGCAGCCACAUCAGUCUGGUGAUGGGCAAGGGAACACGUGUCAAAGCCAGCUGACCUUUACAUACAUCACGGCUAACUAGAAAACCAUUUGGUGACUUGCUAGUUCCUCGAACUUCUGGGAAAGAGAAUGGUGUUAUAGAUGGAGUCUCACUGUCGUCCAGGCUGGAGUACAGUGGCAGGAUCUUGGCUCAUGCAACCUGUGCCUCCUUGAUUCAAGCGAUUCUCCUGCCUCAG
This 548-nucleotide long non-coding RNA is filed under the name Homo sapiens (human). RNAcentral describes it as "HSALNT0109317". The record is from RNAcentral. Lineage: Eukaryota; Metazoa; Chordata; Mammalia; Primates; Hominidae.